UGCACCCCAGAGGGAAGCCCUUCCCGAACCGGGCUUGGUGCUAAGAAGCCCAGCGGUGAAGUCACCUCCGACCACCACCAAUGGAAGGACCUCCUGGAGAGGUCAUUCUAUGGACCGGCAGCCAGGACACGGGUUCAGAACCCCCAUGCGCCCAGACUGCACACCCCCCCCCGUCGGUGCAGAAACAGAAGCACUGAUGUUAUAGAUACAAGACUUCCUGGAUAGAUCAUUUUGCACCGCUCCCUGCAGCUAACCAUGACCACGGGAACAAGUUUGACCCAUGGGGUAUAUGUGACUUCCUGGUAGUGUUCCAAAAGUGAAGAGACAGCUAUUGCAAAGGAUGGUCUUUGCUUCCUGUUGAUUGGGGUGAGGAAAUGGUGCUACCACCUUGGGAAUAAGUUGGCCUCCCAGGAUCAUGACGUGGCAAGACUGAGUUUUGAUGCCAGAUCUUGGUUCUGUUGGCCUUCAGAGGGGAACCACCCAUUGAAUCUUCCAGUUCCCAAGUCGUGGGACUCAACCAUCAACUCUCCCACAUCCAGCUUGCCAGCUCAGCCUGCAGAUCUUUGGACUUGCCAACCUCCAUAAUUGUUUACAACUGUAGCUAUGAAACAGCCAAGAUUCAAACACAUUUGACCAAGAACAAUGGCAAUCUCAUAAGAUUCAACAACAAUUGGAAAUGACUGGAGCAUGUUGAACAGCACCCCCUUACAGGCUGGUCAAGGGAAGAGACAAAGGCGCACUAAGUCCUCAUCUUCCAUGGUAUGGAAUCAGAAGACCUGAAACUGAAAAACCCAGAAACUGUAGGGCAAGCAUGUUCCCUAGAAAGAUGGAGGCAAAUGAUUAAUACAACAACAAAAUCAUGAGAGCGACUAGGAUGGAGGUUCCCUAGAGAUGGCAGUAGGACUACUCUGCUCUUAUC
This is a long non-coding RNA of Talpa occidentalis (Iberian mole), 919 nucleotides long. RefSeq lists it as uncharacterized. The transcript is spliced from 4 exons. NCBI's taxonomy places the organism in Eukaryota, Metazoa, Chordata, Mammalia, Eulipotyphla, Talpidae. The record is from RefSeq and is a predicted model, not a curated record.